UCGAGAAUUUUUCUCAAUGGGCGCAAGCCUGAAGGAGCGACGCCGCGUGGGGGAUGAAGGGCUUCGGCCCGUAAACCCCUGUCAUUUGCGAACAAUUCGAUUCACCUAACACGUGAAGCGUUGAUAGUAGCGAAAGAGGAAGGGACGGCUAACUCUGUGCCAGCAGCCGCGGUAAUACAGAGGUCCCAAGCGUUGUUCGGAUUCACUGGGCGUAAAGGGUGCGUAGGUGGCGGGGUAAGUUCGAUGUGAAAUCUCUGGGCUCAACCCAGAAAUGGCAUUGAAUACUAUUUCGCUUGAGGGUCGGAGGGGAGACUGGAAUUCUCGGUGUAGCAGUGAAAUGCGUAGAUAUCGAGAGGAACACCAGUGGCGAAGGCGAGUCUCUGGACGACUCCUGACACUGAGGCACGAAAGCUAGGGGAGCAAACAGG
RNAcentral lists this ribosomal RNA (428 nucleotides) under uncultured bacterium. RNAcentral describes it as "bacterial SSU rRNA". It matches the Rfam family "Bacterial small subunit ribosomal RNA", at positions 355 to 776 of the family's 1533-position model. The record is from RNAcentral.